GUGGGGAAUAUUGGGCAAUGGGGGAAACCCUGACCCAGCGACGCCGCGUGAGGGAAGACGGCCUUCGGGUUGUAAACCUCUUUUGUACGGGAAGAAGGAAGUGACGGUACUGUACGAAUAAGUCCCGGCUAACUACGUGCCAGCAGCCGCGGUAAUACGUAGGGGACGAGCGUUGUCCGGAAUUACUGGGCGUAAAGGGCGCGCAGGCUGUGCUGCAAGUCAGCUGGGAAAUGUCUGGGCUUAACCCGGGCAUGCGGUUGAGACUGCAGUGCUGGAGUGCUGUAGAGGCAAGUGGAAUUCCCAGUGUAGCGGUGAAAUGCGUAGAUAUUGGGAAGAACACCGGUGGCGAAGGCGACUUGCUGGGCAGCAACUGACGCUGAGGCGCGAAAGCCAGGGGAGCAAACGGGAUUAGAAACCCCAGUAGUCC
RNAcentral lists this ribosomal RNA (427 nucleotides) under uncultured bacterium. RNAcentral's name for it is "partial 16S ribosomal RNA". It matches the Rfam family "Bacterial small subunit ribosomal RNA", at positions 354 to 796 of the family's 1533-position model. The record is from RNAcentral.